GACAGAGGUGCCAAGCGUUGUGCGGAAUCACUGGGCGUAAAGCGUGUGUAGGCGGCUGCGUAAGUACCUUGUGAAAUCCCACAGCUUAACUGUGGAACUGCUUGGUAUACUGGGUGUCUUGAGCCACUCAGGGGCGAGCGGAACAAAUGGUGGAGCGGUGAAAUGCGUAGAUAUCAUUUGGAACGCCAAUGGUGAAAACAGCUCGCUGGGGGUGUGCUGACGCUGAGACACGAAAGCCAGGGGAGCGAACGGG
RNAcentral lists this ribosomal RNA (253 nucleotides) under uncultured bacterium. RNAcentral describes it as "partial 16S ribosomal RNA". It matches the Rfam family "Bacterial small subunit ribosomal RNA", at positions 524 to 776 of the family's 1533-position model. The record is from RNAcentral.